GUAGUCCUGGCUGUAAACGAUGUCGACUUGGAGGUUGUGCCCUUGAGGCGUGGCUUCCGGAGCUAACGCGUUAAGUCGACCGCCUGGGGAGUACGGCCGCAAGGUUAAAACUCAAAUGAAUUGACGGGGGCCCGCACAAGCGGUGGAGCACGUGGUUUAAUUCGAUGCAACGCGAAGAACCUUACCUGGUCUUGACAUCCACGGAAGUUUUCAGAGAUGAGAAUGUGCCUUCGGGAACCGUGAGACAGGUGCUGCAUGGCUGUCGUCAGCUCGUGUUGUGAAAUGUUGGGUUAAGUCCCGCAACGAGCGCAACCCUUAUCCUUUGUUGCCAGCGGUCCGGCCGGGAACUCAAAGGAGACUGCCAGUGAUAAACUGGAGGAAGGUGGGGAUGACGUCAAGUCAUCAUGGCCCUUACGACCAGGGCUACACACGUGCUACAAUGGCGCAUACAAAGAGAAGCGACCUCGCGAGAGCAAGCGGACCUCAUAAAGUGCGUCGUAGUCCGGAUUGGAGUCUGCAACUCGACUCCAUGAAGUCGGAAUCGCUAGUAAUCGUGGAUCAGAAUGCCACGGUGAAUACGUUCCCGGGCCUUGUACACACCGCCCGUCACACCAUGGGAGUGGGUUGCAAAAGAAGUAGGUAGCUUAACCUUCGGGAGGGCGCUUACCACUUUGUGAUUCAUGACUGGGGUGAAGUCGUAACAAGGUAACCGUAGGGGAACCUGCGGCUGGAUCACCUCC
Molecule: ribosomal RNA, 740 nt
Filed under: uncultured bacterium
Lineage: Bacteria
Description: bacterial SSU rRNA
Rfam family: Bacterial small subunit ribosomal RNA
Source: RNAcentral